UACGGAGGAUCCGAGCGUUAUCCGGAUUUAUUGGGUUUAAAGGGUACGUAGGCGGGGCGUAUAAGUCAGCGGUGAAAUUUUGCAGCUUAACUGCAAGCUUGCCGUUGAAACUAUCGUUCUUGAGUGUAGAUGAGGUAGGCGGAAUGUGUUGUGUAGCGGUGAAAUGCAUAGAUAUAACACAGAACCCCGAUUGCGAAGGCAGCUUACCGGGUUAUCACUGACGCUGAGGUACGACAGCGUGGGGAUCAAACAGGAUUAGAUACCCUGGUAGUCCACGCCGUAAACGAUGAAUACUCGCUGUUUGCGAUAUACUGCAAGCGGCCAAGCGAAAGCAUUAAGUAUUCCACCUGGGGAGUACGUUCGCAAGAAUGAAACUCAAAGGAAUUGACGGGGGCCCGCACAAGCGGAGGAACAUGUGGUUUAAUUCGAUGAUACGCGAGGAACCUUACCCGGGUUUGAAAUGCAAUCGACCGAUUAUGAAAGUAGUUUUCCAGCAAUGGCGAUUGUGUAGGUGCUGCAUGGUU
This 524-nucleotide ribosomal RNA is filed under the name uncultured bacterium. RNAcentral's name for it is "bacterial SSU rRNA". It matches the Rfam family "Bacterial small subunit ribosomal RNA", at positions 524 to 1050 of the family's 1533-position model. The record is from RNAcentral.